Microcebus murinus (gray mouse lemur) is the source of this 565-nucleotide non-coding RNA. The record is from RefSeq and is a predicted model, not a curated record. Lineage: Eukaryota; Metazoa; Chordata; Mammalia; Primates; Cheirogaleidae.
AUGAAAUAAGCUUACCAAAUCUCAAACAGAAAAAAAACAUAAAGAAGACUACACCAAGAUAAUUACAUUGCUUGCAACUAGGGAUAAAGAGAAAAAAAAUUUAAGUAGCCAGAGACAAAACACAAAGAGAAAACAAAGAUUGACAACAGACUUCUUGUCAGAACCAAUGCACCUCAGAAGGCAAUGAUGUCUUUAAAAUACUGAAACUAAAAAGAAACCGUCAAGUUAGAAUUCUAGACCCAGCAAACACACUUUUCAAAAACAGAGGUGAAUGAAGGCAUUUCAAACACAGAAAGAAAGAAUUCAUCAAAACCAGACUGCCACUAUUAGAAAUGCUAAAGGAAACUGUUCGGGCAGAAGGCUUAUGAUACCAAAUGGAAAUGCAGAUCUACCCAAAGGAAUGAAGAGCAGCAGAAAUGAAAAUAUGAUCUCAGACCAAGAUUCCCACUUUGCCUCCGAAGCUAAUUUUGGUCCCACUGGCAGAGGACUAGCGAGGACUUCCUGCCCUGCCUCUCCGGCUGCUGCCCCGACUCACACAGAGCUGAGCCCCGAAGACCGCCCCUCU